GACGAACGCUGGCGGCGUGCUUAACACAUGCAAGUCGAACGGAAAGGCCCUGCUUUUGUGGCGUGCUCGAGUGGCGAACGGGGGAGUAACACGUGAGUAACCUGCACUUGACUUUGUGAUAACUUCAGGAAACUGGGGCUAAUACCGGAUAGGAGCUCCUGCUGCAUGGGGGGGGUUGGAAAGUUUCGGCGGUUGGGGAUGGACUCGAGGCUUAUCAGCUUGUUGGUGGGGUAGGGGAGUACCAAGGUUUUGAAGGGUAGGCGGCCUGAGAGGGUGACCGGCCACAUUGGGACUGAGAUACGGACCAGACUCCUACGGGCGGCAGCAGUGGGGAAUAUUGCACAAUGGGCGGAAGCCUGAUGCAGCAACGCCGCGUGCGGGAUGACGGCCUUCGGGUUGUAAACCGCUUUCGCAUGUGACGAAGCGUGAGUGACGGUAAUGGGUAAAGAAGCACCGGCUAACUACGUG
RNAcentral lists this ribosomal RNA (468 nucleotides) under uncultured bacterium. RNAcentral's name for it is "partial 16S ribosomal RNA". It matches the Rfam family "Bacterial small subunit ribosomal RNA", at positions 28 to 507 of the family's 1533-position model. The record is from RNAcentral.